GACGAACGCUGGCGGCGUGCUUAACACAUGCAAGUCGAACGGUGAAGCGCCUUCCUUUUUGGUGGGUGUGGAUGAGUGGCGAACGGGUGAGUAACACGUGAGUAACCUGCCCCCUUCUUCUGGAUAACCGCAUGAAAGUGAGGCUAAUACGGGAUAUUCUGGGUCUGUCGCAUGAUGGGUCUGGGAAAGAUAUUGUUUCGGUGGGGGAUGGGCUCGCGGCCUAUCAGCUUGUUGGUGGGGUGAUGGCCUACCAAGGCGGUGACGGGUAGCCGGCCUGGGAGGGUGGACGGUCACACUGGGACUGAGACACGGCCCAGACUCCUACGGGAGGCAGCAGUGGGGAAUAUUGCACAAUGGGCGCAAGCCUGAUGCAGCGACGCCGCGUGAGGGAUGGAGGCCUUCGGGUUGUGAACCUCUUUCGCCAGUGAAGCAGGCCUGCCUCGUUUGUGGGUGGGUUGACGGUAGCUGGAUAAGAAGCGCCGGCUAACUACGUG
This 494-nucleotide ribosomal RNA is filed under the name uncultured bacterium. Its description in RNAcentral is "partial 16S ribosomal RNA". It matches the Rfam family "Bacterial small subunit ribosomal RNA", at positions 28 to 507 of the family's 1533-position model. The record is from RNAcentral.